RNAcentral lists this ribosomal RNA (253 nucleotides) under uncultured bacterium. RNAcentral's name for it is "partial 16S ribosomal RNA". It matches the Rfam family "Bacterial small subunit ribosomal RNA", at positions 524 to 776 of the family's 1533-position model. The record is from RNAcentral.
UACGGGGGGGGCAAGCGUUGUUCGGAAUUACUGGGCGUAAAGGGCUUGUAGGUGGCCAACUAAGUCAGACGUGAAAUCCCUCGGCUUAACCGGGGAACUGCGUCUGAUACUGGAUGGCUCGAGUGUGGGAGAGGGAUGCGGAAUUCCAGGUGUAGCGGUGAAAUGCGUAGAUAUCAGGAGGAACACCGAUGGCGAAGGCAGGUCUCUGGGCAUUAACUGACGCUGAGGAGCGAAAGCAUGGGGAGCGAACAGG